GUGUUCACUUCGGCAGCACAUAUACUAAAAAUUGGAAUGAUACAGAGGAGAUUAGCAUGGUCCCUGUGCAAGGAUGACAUGCAAAUUCAAGAUGCAUUCCAUAUUUAA
This is a small nuclear RNA of Myotis lucifugus (little brown bat), 108 nucleotides long. Lineage: Eukaryota; Metazoa; Chordata; Mammalia; Chiroptera; Vespertilionidae. The record is from Ensembl.